Non-coding RNA from Pelobates cultripes (western spadefoot toad), 240 nucleotides. NCBI's taxonomy places the organism in Eukaryota, Metazoa, Chordata, Amphibia, Anura, Pelobatidae. The record is from the annotation of a GenBank genome assembly.
AUAAUAAUGAGAAUGGCAGACAGCUUAAAAUGCUAGACCUAGAAUUUAUGAAUAGACAGGUAUAGAGAUUCUGCUGAGUGGCCAGACUAGAUCCAGCUGAAUAAAGUUGUAGUAAAUGAAAGUAGAUAGUUAGCUGAGCACAUCACAUUCCUAAAGCUUUUCUAAAAGAACAGUUAAAAGGGAUGCAUUGGAAAGGGAAGCUUCAAACUGCAAGACUGGGGCUCUGACUGUGGACUAAUC